ACUGUCAGGUGGGCAGUUUGACUGGGGCGGUCGCCUCCCAAAAGGUAACGGAGGCGCUCAAAGGUUCUCUCAGUACGGUCGGAAAUCGUACGUAGAGUGUAAAGGCAAAAGAGAGCUUGAUUGCAAGACAUACAGGUCGAGCAAGGAUGAAAAUCGGACUUAGUGAUCCGGUGGUUCUGCGUGGAAGGGCCAUCGCUCAACGGAUAAAAGCUACCCUGGGGAUAACAGGCUUAUCUCCCCCAAGAGUCCACAUCGACGGGGAGGUUUGGCACCUCGAUGUCGGCUCAUCACAUCCUGGGGCUGUAGUAGGUCCCAAGGGUUGGGCUGUUCGCCCAUUAAAGUGGUACGCGAGCUGGGUUCAGAACGUCGUGAGACAGUUCGGUCCCUAUCCGUCGCAGGCGUAGGAAAUUUGAGAAGACCUGUCCUUAGUA
Molecule: ribosomal RNA, 431 nt
Filed under: Clostridioides difficile
Lineage: Bacteria; Bacillati; Bacillota; Clostridia; Peptostreptococcales; Peptostreptococcaceae
Description: partial 23S ribosomal RNA
Rfam family: Bacterial large subunit ribosomal RNA
Source: RNAcentral